GAUGAACGCUGGCGGCGUGCCUAAUACAUGCAAGUCGAGCGAACAGACGAGGAGCUUGCUCCUCUGACGUUAGCGGCGGACGGGUGAGUAACACGUGGAUAACCUACCUAUAAGACUGGGAUGACUUCGGGAAACCGGAGCUAAUACCGGAUAAUAUAUUGAACCGCAUGGUUCAAUAGUGAAAGACGGUUUUGCUGUCACUUAUAGAUGGAUCCGCGCCGCAUUAGCUAGUUGGUAAGGUAACGGCUUACCAAGGCAACGAUGCGUAGCCGACCUGAGAGGGUGAUCGGCCACACUGGAACUGGGACACGGUCCAGACUCCUACGGGAGGCAGCAGUAGGGAAUCUUCCGCAAUGGGCGAAAGCCUGACGGAGCAACGCCGCGUGAGUGAUGAAGGUCUUCGGAUCGUAAAACUCUGUUAUUAGGGAAGAACAAAUGUGUAAGUAACUAUGCACGUCUUGACGGUACCUAAUCAGAAAGCCACGGCUAACUACGUG
RNAcentral lists this ribosomal RNA (497 nucleotides) under uncultured bacterium. RNAcentral's name for it is "partial 16S ribosomal RNA". It matches the Rfam family "Bacterial small subunit ribosomal RNA", at positions 28 to 507 of the family's 1533-position model. The record is from RNAcentral.